CACUCCUGCGGGAGGCAGCAGUGGGGAAUAUUGGACAAUGGGCGCAAGCCUGAUCCAGCCAUGCCGCGUGAGUGAUGAAGGCCCUCGGGUUGUAAAGCUCUUUCACCGGUGAAGAUAAUGACGGUAACCGGAGAAGAAGCCCCGGCUAACUUCGUGCCAGCAGCCGCGGUAAUACGAAGGGGGCUAGCGUUGUUCGGAUUUACUGGGCGUAAAGCGCACGUAGGCGGACUAUUAAGUCAGGGGUGAAAUCCCGGGGCUCAACCCCGGAACUGCCUUUGAGACUGGUAGUCUUGAGUUCGAGAGAGGUGAGUGGAAUUCCGAGUGUAGAGGUGAAAUUCGUAGAUAUUCGGAGGAACACCAGUGGGGAAGGCGGCUCACUUGCUCGAUACUGACGCUGAGGUGCGAAAGCGUGGGGAGCAAACAGGAUUAGAAACCCCAGUAGUCCCAUG
RNAcentral lists this ribosomal RNA (449 nucleotides) under uncultured organism. RNAcentral's name for it is "partial 16S ribosomal RNA". It matches the Rfam family "Bacterial small subunit ribosomal RNA", at positions 334 to 799 of the family's 1533-position model. The record is from RNAcentral.